This 449-nucleotide ribosomal RNA is filed under the name uncultured bacterium. RNAcentral's name for it is "partial 16S ribosomal RNA". It matches the Rfam family "Bacterial small subunit ribosomal RNA", at positions 29 to 523 of the family's 1533-position model. The record is from RNAcentral.
AACGAACGCUGGCGGCAUGCCUAACACAUGCAAGUCGAACGAAGGCUUCGGCCUUAGUGGCGCACGGGUGAGUAACGCGUGGGAAACUGCCUAUUGGUGGGGAAUAACGACGGGAAACCGUCGCUAAUACCGCAUAAGCCCUUCGGGGGAAAGAUUUAUCGCCGAUAGAUGUGCCCGCGUCCGAUUAGCUAGUUGGUGAGGUAAUGGCUCACCAAGGCGACGAUCGGUAGCUGGUCUGAGAGGAUGAUCAGCCACACUGGGACUGAGACACGGCCCAGACUCCUACGGGAGGCAGCAGUGGGGAAUAUUGGACAAUGGGCGAAAGCCUGAUCCAGCAAUGCCGCGUGAGUGAUGAAGGCCUUAGGGUUGUAAAGCUCUUUCGGGUGGGACGAUGAUGACGGUACCACCAGAAGAAGCCCCGGCUAACUUCGUGACAGCCGCCGCGGUAA